UGGUCCACGCCGUAAACGAUGAUCACUCGUUGUUGGCAAUACAUCGUCAGCGACUGAACGAAAGCAUUAAGUGAUCCACCUGGGAAGUACGAUCGCAAGGUUGAAACUCAAAGGAAUUGACGGGGGCCCGCACAAGCGGAGGAGCAUGUGGUUUAAUUCGAUGAUACGCGAGGAACCUUACCUGGGCUUAAAUGUAAGACGACCAUCCCCGAAAGGGGAUUUUCCUUCGGGACGUCCUACAAGGUGCUGCAUGGUUGUCGUCAGCUCGUGCCGUGAGGUGUCGGGUUAAGUCCCAUAACGAGCGCAACCCCUAUCCUUAGUUGCCAUCAGGUAAUGCUGGGGACUCUAAGGAAACUGCCUACGCAAGUAGUGAGGAAGGUGGGGAUGACGUCAAAUCAGCACGGCCCUUAUGUCCAGGGCUACACACGUGCUACAAUGGUCGGUACAGAGGGUCGCUACCUAGUGAUAGGAUGCUAAUCUCGAAAACCGNUCUCAGUUCGGAUCGAAGU
Molecule: ribosomal RNA, 509 nt
Filed under: uncultured bacterium
Lineage: Bacteria
Description: bacterial SSU rRNA
Rfam family: Bacterial small subunit ribosomal RNA
Source: RNAcentral